RNAcentral lists this long non-coding RNA (2397 nucleotides) under Gossypium barbadense (sea-island cotton). RNAcentral describes it as "long non-coding RNA (GBAR_LNC013428)". The record is from RNAcentral. Lineage: Eukaryota; Viridiplantae; Streptophyta; Magnoliopsida; Malvales; Malvaceae.
CCUUUUACAAUGGAGGGAGAGGCAUCUAUUUAUAGUUGAGCCUCCUCAAAUCCAACGGUACAGAUUAAUUACAUCAACGACUAAGAUUAAAAGGUAUCUACAAAUUAAAUCUCUAAUAUUACAAAAUCGUAUCUUCUAAGAUUACAUAUCAUAUCUAAGAUUACAUAUCAUAUCUAAGAUUACAUAUCCUUGAAGAUUAUGUUUCCAUAUACAUCAAGCUUGUAGAUAAGCCUUCAACUUUUUCAAGUAAUGGGUCAUCCCGAUCGAGCCAAAUGAUAUCAUUUUGAACUUUGUUUUAUUAUUUUAGGUUUAUUAUUUUUUAUGAGCCCGGGCUAAAUUGGCCUAUUACAGACUAUAUAUGAUAAAUCGAUCAUUUAUUUGUAUGUAAAAGAUUCUUAGUCAUUAACAUCAAACUAAAUUCAAUCAAUUAAUCAAAUAUAAAAUCGAUAAUUUAAUAAAUUAAAUAAAAAAUUGAUAAUUUAUUCACAUAAAAUCAAACAUAAUUUAUUCAAUUAAUCAAAUAUAUAAAGUAAUUUAUGAAUUUGAAUCUCAAAUUUAAUAAUUUGUGUAUUUGUUUUUGCUUGGGUAAAUAAUAGUUUAAUUUGAAUCUCAAAUAUAUUCAUAUAUUACAUAUAUAACUUAAAUUUAUUUUUAAACUAAUUUUUAAAUUAAUAGUUUAAUUUAGAUGUAUGACAUUUUUUUCAAUAGCCCUCAGAUUUUCUGUUUUUAACACGAAAAGAUUUUUUUGUUAGAGUAGCACGUCAUAUAUCUUUUUUGAUGAGAAAAUUAGACAAUGAACUAAUUUAAAAAUUGAUUUGAGAGUAGAUGAUGACAUUAGUGAUUAGGCUCAUUUUACACAUAGCUACUUAAUUCUACAAGCUGCAUUGGAAAAUUUUCUCUUUGCAUUCAAAAUUAAAUCUCACCAAUUAAAGAAAUCACUUUCCAUGAUUAUAUUUCAAGAAAAAUAAACUGAUUAUUCUACAAGCCUGUCAAUAGCACAGGAAUUAAUUAAAUUCCCAUACCGCAUCUAAAGAAUCAACAACUUCCAUCGAAACCAAAUCCAGAUUUAACCUUAACCUAGACCCACCUAAACCAGAAACAAAUCAAACCUGUAAAGGACAUAACUCAAAACAUCCAAAUCCGAAGUAACUUAAAUCUAACAUGAUCAUAUAUGUAAAAAUUUGAAUCACAAAAAACUUAAACUGUAAAUCUGAAUGAUCCCAACUCAAAACAUACACAAACUAAAACCAAUUAAACCGAUCCAAUUCACAAAAACAGAACCUCAAGCACAAAUAAUCGAGCUCCUUUUUUACUAGAUAAACAAACCUAAUCAAGGGAAGAAAAACUAAAAGGCCGAAAAUAAGGAAUGAGGAAUUUUUUUCAAUAGUUUAAUUUAGAUGCAUGCCAUUUUUUUCAAUAGCCCUUUGAUUUUCUGUUUUUAACACGAAAAGAUUUUUUUUUGUUAGAGUAGCAUGUCAUAUAUCUUUUUUGAUGAGAAAAUUAGACAAUGAACUAAUUUAAAAAUUGAUUUGAGAGUAGAUGAUGACAUUAGUGAUUAGACUCAUUUUACAUACAGUUACUUAAUUCUACGAGCUGCAUUGAAAAAUUUUCUCUCUGCAUUCGAAAUUAAAUCUCAGCAUAUAAAGAAAUCACUUUCCAAGAUUAUAUUUCAAGAAAAAUAAACUGAUUUUUUUACAAGCCUGUCAAUAGCACAGGAAUUAAUUAAAUUCCCAUACCGCAUCUGAAUGAUCCCAACUCAAAACAUACAUACACUAAAACCAAUUAAACCGAUCCAAUUCACAAGAACAGAACCUCAAGCACAAAUAAUCGAGCUCCUUUUUUACUAGAUAAACAAACCUAAUCAAGGGAAGAAAAACUAAAAGGCAGAAAAUAAUAGGGAAGAAUUGAACCAAAAGGCAUAAAAUAAGGGGAAAAAAGAGCUUACCGAGCUCGCAAAAUUGAAGAAUGGGAGAGUUUUUGUUACGGAAAACCCUAACUUGUGAGAUUGAAAGAGAAGCUUUUAAUUUCGCCGGAGCUUCAGAAUCAGGGUUGUGCCCUACAGAUAGCAACAGAAGCAAAGAAAAAAUUAAAGAGAAAGAAAAAAACGAAGCAAGCAUUAAAGAAAAAAAUCAAACAGAAAAAGGAACAGCCAUAUACCCAGUCAACGGAGAAAUUAGGGAUUUGCUGAGAUUUUUACCAGUCAGCCCAAAGUAGAAGCCAUAUUGGAGCGAGAAGAAGGCUGGAGAACGACGGUGAAGGGGUUAGGGAUUUGCAGGAGAGGAGAAAGACGGAAGGAGAGUCGGGGUGAAGGGGGGAGAUUUAAGUCAAAUUGAAAUUUCAAUAUUUCCGACGUUUUACAAAAACCCCACUAAUUGCAAACUAUUUGCGGCUAAUGAU